Long non-coding RNA from Populus trichocarpa (black cottonwood), 874 nucleotides. RefSeq lists it as uncharacterized. NCBI's taxonomy places the organism in Eukaryota, Viridiplantae, Streptophyta, Magnoliopsida, Malpighiales, Salicaceae. The record is from RefSeq and is a predicted model, not a curated record. The transcript has 2 exons.
ACACUCAUGCUCUUUCCCCCCUCUUUUGUCACUUGCGUUUUUUGUUUGUUGUUGCGUUUUCGUUUUCAGGAUUUGAGCUAUAUUUCACCUGCGUUUGAUUGAUCUUUGUGUUUUUGGUUUUAUUCAAAUAUCUUAUGCUUGCUUUGUCCUCUUUUUCUUUGCCUGCUUUCUACAUUUAUUAGAGAAGGGGGGCUUGUAUGGGUUGUUGCGCCAUUGGAUUAUUGAUUCCUGCCUCCUCUGCUUUGAGUUCUUUUGGCGGGUUUUGGUAUUUGAUUUUUUAAAAUACCGAAAAAUCAAUGUUAUGCUUUUUUAAAUACCGAACCACUUGCCAAUCGCGCCAACUCGAUCCACAAUUAGGAUCAUGUCUAAUUCUUUCUUUUGGCUAUCAAGAAAAAAGAGUAAAGUUUUAUCUUCUUCUUCUUUAUAUAUAUAUAUAUAUAUAUAUAUGUUGUUCUACCUUUCUCUUUGGUUAUGAAGAAAAAACCGAUGCAUUGUUCAUGUACAUGAAACUUACAGGUUUAGAAGAGAUGCCGUCGGCAACAACAACAACAUCAUCGUGAAGGUCAUAGCAAAAUGGUCAGAUGGUAUUAUUAGCAUCGAUCGGAAAUUGCCACAUCAACAACCGUAUACUGUGCCUUUUUACGACUAGUAUGUAACAACUAUAUCAGCUAUGCUUCGCUUCCAACUUGCAUUUUCUUUUCUUUUGCUUUUUAGCAGUGUGAAAUAUUGAUUUGUUGCUCAAGAACACAUUUCAACAGAGUUUUUUCUGAUAAAAUUAAUGGAGUGUUGUAAUUGAAGUUAAAUAAAAUAUUAUUGUUCUGCAUUCAAGAACUAUAAAGCUACCUUUUGCAAUGACAAUCCGUUGUUUCUUUUU